GUUUUGGUCCUAAACUUGCUCUUGUUUUUUUACCAAAAUUAUACAUGCAAGCCUCCACAUACCAGUGAGAAUGCCCACAUACCCCCAAACAGUGAACCGGAGCAGGCAUCAGGAUACAACACCCUCUUUUUAGCCAAAGACGCCUUGCAUAUGCCACACCCACACGGGUUCUCAGCAGUAAUUAACAUUAAGACAUGAGCGAAAGCUCGACUUAGUUAUGGUAAACAUGGCCGGUAAAUUUCGUGCCAGCCACCGCGGUUACACGAAAGACCAGAAACAAGAGCCAAACGGCGUAAAGCGUGACUAAAGAACUAUAACAUUUUUAAAGGGGAACAGCUGCCAAGUAGUAAAAUACCCACGCACGCUAGAACACCAACUAAUGCCUUUAACACCACUUUACCUCACGAAAGCUAAGAAACAAACUGGGAUUAGAUACCCCACUAUGCUUAGCCCUAAACAUAGACAGUAAAAACACAAAACUGUUCGCCAGAGAACUACAAAUGAAAAGCUUAAAACUCUAAGGACUUGGCGGUGCUUCAAAUCAACCUAGAGGAGCCUGUCCUAUAAUCGAUACCCCACGUUUCACCUUACCUCUCCUAGCCAACCAGCCUAUAUACCGCCGUCGUCAGCCUACCUUAUGAAAGAAAAUAAAGUAAGCAAAAAAGUUAGUAACUAAUACGUCAGGUCAAGGUGUAGCACACGGAGAGGCAGAGAUGGGCUACAUUUUCUCAAAGAGAAAACACAAAUAGUGAACUGAAACACACACCUGAAGGCGGAUUUAGUAGUAAAAUAGCUAAGAAUAGUUAUUUUAAACCUGCUCUGAAGCGCGCACACACCGCCCGUCACCCUCAUCACAUGUACAACACCAU
This 869-nucleotide non-coding RNA is filed under the name Ctenotus striaticeps. The record is from RNAcentral. Lineage: Eukaryota; Metazoa; Chordata; Lepidosauria; Squamata; Scincidae.